Molecule: ribosomal RNA, 497 nt
Filed under: uncultured bacterium
Lineage: Bacteria
Description: partial 16S ribosomal RNA
Rfam family: Bacterial small subunit ribosomal RNA
Source: RNAcentral
GAUGAACGCUGGCGGCGUGCCUAACACAUGCAAGUCGAGCGAAAAGACGAGGAGUUUUCCCCUCUGACGGUAGCGGGGGACGGGCGUGUAAGACGUGCAUAAUCUACCUAUAAGACUGGGGUAACUUCGGGAAGCCGGAGCUGAUACCGGAGAAUAUGUUGAACGGCAUGGUUCAAUAGAUAAUCACGGUUUUGCAGAUACUUAUAGCUGGAGCCGCGUCGGAUUAGCUAGUUGGUAAGGUAACGGCUUACCAAGGCGACGAUUCUGAGCCGACCUGAGAGGAUGAUCCGCCACACUGGAACUUCGACACGGUCCAGACUCCGACGCGAGGCAGCAGUAGCGAAUCUUCCACAAUGGCCGCAAUCCUGACGAAGCAACGCCGCGUGAGUGAUGAAGGUCUUCGGGUCGUAAAGCUCUUUUAUUGGGGAAGAACACAUGUCUGCGAAAAUCUUCCCGUCUUGACGGUACCUAAUGAGAAAGCCACGGCUAACUUCGUG